CUCAUCAAGCUUUCUAUAAAUCUCUUUGUUGCUACUCAGACGAGUUCUUGUGAACUUUCCCUCAGCAAGAACCACUUCUCAUAUUGAUGCAUUCCACAUCAAACGACAUUUUCUCCAUCGCUUCAGUUCACAUCAUUCAUAUAUACCAGUGUAAUGUUUCUUGUGUCCCGUUUAACACGAAACCGAGAUUCUUCCACGGGUCUCAAAAAAGUGUUUCCCCUCCAAUACAAGUCCUACAUAGUUUCAUGCACAGAGGACGGCGCUCGCUAGAGUAAUAUUGUUUGGCGAAUUUCAUUAAGGAAGCAGCUUCACCAUGUAAUGUAACGAAACUGUUCCUGAAAUAGCCGGGAAUAAGCGUCACUAUUUAAUUUCUGGUUCUGUGAUCUUUGCAAACCGAAUUAAACCGGGAAUAAAGUAUUGUGUUAAAAGCUAAUUUAAGUAUUAAAAAAUGGAACUAUGAUCACCAAUUCGAGCCCAGUUAAAGUGGUUAUCUCUCUAUAUGUGGCUUAUGGAGGAGAUUCCAUCAGGGUUCGAGCGGCGUAUUGGUACGAAUGGAGAAGGAAAGUUGGUUUCUCUCCAUCUACUUAAUUGAUCCUUCGAUGUCAAUCUAUAAGG
This is a long non-coding RNA of Arabidopsis thaliana (thale cress), 615 nucleotides long. RefSeq annotates it as other RNA. NCBI's taxonomy places the organism in Eukaryota, Viridiplantae, Streptophyta, Magnoliopsida, Brassicales, Brassicaceae. The transcript has a single exon. The record is from RefSeq.